AAGCGUGUCACGAAAUUUUUUACUGUGUCGUGUUUUCUAUUCAUGAAAAAAGAGACUUAUACAUUUCGAAGGAUUUUUUAUUUGUCUUUAAAAAGGCAGGGAAAGAAUUGUGCAAUGAAGGGUGUAUUGUUGCUUUACAUUUUCACCACCAGUAGCCUAUAUAUGUAUUCAUUUUGAUGUAUUUAUUUUGAUAUUGGUUGUUGUAGACCCAUCCCCAACAACGUCAACCUGCAGAAGGACUAUUACUACACUGAGACUGAGAAAUACUACUCAACAAAGGCGCCAGAGUACUACACCACAGCAAGUUACUACACCAAAGCUCACAAGUAUUAUUCCGCUCAUAAAUCUACACUAUUUUCUUAUCAUAAACUACACUACUACUGUGUCGUAUCCCGCCAGCUAUCAGAGGGCAGCGCCAUCGUAUUGAUUUCAUAUUUUCUUGAGAAAACCUUUAAAUGUUUAGU
Long non-coding RNA from Daphnia pulex (common water flea), 464 nucleotides. RefSeq lists it as uncharacterized. The transcript is spliced from 2 exons. NCBI's taxonomy places the organism in Eukaryota, Metazoa, Arthropoda, Branchiopoda, Diplostraca, Daphniidae. The record is from RefSeq and is a predicted model, not a curated record.